This 476-nucleotide ribosomal RNA is filed under the name uncultured organism. RNAcentral describes it as "partial 16S ribosomal RNA". It matches the Rfam family "Bacterial small subunit ribosomal RNA", at positions 333 to 800 of the family's 1533-position model. The record is from RNAcentral.
ACACUCCUACGGGAGGCAGCAGUGGGGAAUUUUGGACAAUGGGGGCAACCCUGAUCCAGCAAUGCCGCGUGAGUGAAGAAGGCCUUCGGGUUGUAAAGCUCUUUUGUCAGGGAAGAAACGGUGGUGGCGAAUAACUACUACUAAUGACGGUACCUGAAGAAUAAGCACCGGCUAACUACGUGCCAGCAGCCGCGGUAAUACGUAGGGUGCAAGCGUUAAUCGGAAUUACUGGGCGUAAAGCGUGCGCAGGCGGUUGUGUAAGUCAGAUGUGAAAUCCCCGGGCUCAACCUGUGAAUUGCAUUUGAGACUGCACGGCUAGAGUGUGUCAGAGGGGGGUAGAAUUCCACGUGUAGCAGUGAAAUGCGUAGAUAUGUGGAGGAAUACCGAUGGCGAAGGCAGCCCCCUGGGAUAACACUGACGCUCAUGCACGAAAGCGUGGGGAGCAAACAGGAUUAGAAACCCCAGUAGUCCCAUGA